ACACCUCAACUCUCACGGCUUGCCGUGAUGAGCUUGGACUUUGGGGGUCUUGCUGGCCUGUGGUCAGCUCCUCUCAAAUGAAUUAGCUUGCCGGUGUUUGGUGGGAUCACAGGUGUGAUAACUAUCUACGCUUGUGGUUUUCCACCAGGUAACCUUCAGCGAUGGAGGUUCACCGGAGCUUAUAAAUGUCUCUCCUCAGCAAAGACAGCUUUUGACC
Molecule: unclassified non-coding RNA, 217 nt
Filed under: uncultured Tomentella
Lineage: Eukaryota; Fungi; Basidiomycota; Agaricomycetes; Thelephorales; Thelephoraceae
Description: sequence contains ITS2
Source: RNAcentral